Non-coding RNA from Microcebus murinus (gray mouse lemur), 556 nucleotides. NCBI's taxonomy places the organism in Eukaryota, Metazoa, Chordata, Mammalia, Primates, Cheirogaleidae. The record is from RefSeq and is a predicted model, not a curated record.
AUGGAAUAUAAUGUAUACAUUACGGAAAACUCUAAGAACUGGAAAUCGUGGAGAGAGGAGGGAUGGGGAAUCAUUGCAGCCAUGGUUGCUGUUUGCAGUGGUCUAGGGAGGAAAAAGUGGGCACGCUUGGUAACGGCUGUUGUCUACUUCGCACAUCCUGGCCCUCACGCAGUGUUGUGGAGCAGAGGUUGUUCACAGUAUAAACAUGUGACCAGCAAUGAGUACAUGCCUAUUCCAAUGGAAAAUCCUUAUAAGGAGCCUCCUAAGAAAUGUAUCUUGUGUGGAAAAUGUGUAGAUUAUAAGAAUGUACAGCUUUUGUCCCAGUUUAUUUCUCCAUUUACUGGAUGCAUUUAUGGAAGGCACAUAACAGGUCUUUGUGGGACAAAACAGAGAGAAAUCACAAAAGCAAUUAAGAGAGCUCAAAUACUGGGGUUUAUGCCAGUUACAUACAAGGAUCCUGUGUAUCUCAAAGACCUUAAAGUUUGCAACAUCAGAUAUCAGGAAUAAAUUACAUAAUGUGACCACCAAUAAACUUAUUUUACAGUAAAAAAAAAAA